This 316-nucleotide ribosomal RNA is filed under the name uncultured eukaryote. RNAcentral's name for it is "partial large subunit ribosomal RNA". It matches the Rfam family "Eukaryotic large subunit ribosomal RNA", at positions 40 to 350 of the family's 3401-position model. The record is from RNAcentral.
AUAUCACUAAGCGGAGGAAAAGAAACUAACAAGGAUUCCCCCAGUAGCGGCGAGCGAAGCGGGAAGAGCUCAAAUUUGAAAUCUGCAGUGCCACACUGCCGAGUUGUAAUUUGAAGAGGCGCCUUCGUGCGACACGGCCGCGUAGAAAUCCCUUGGAAAGGGGUAUCGUAGAGGGUGACAAUCCCGUCUGUGACGCGGCCCGUGCCGUCCUAUGAUGCGCUCUCAAAGAGUCGGGUUGCUUGGGAAUGCAGCCCAAAAGGGGUGGUAAAUUCCAUCUAAAGCUAAAUAUUGGCGAGAGACCGAUAGCGCACAAGUA